RNA transcript from Quercus lobata, 1842 nucleotides. It is a transcript of the gene named mediator of RNA polymerase II transcription subunit 10b-like, with no coding region annotated. The transcript is spliced from 9 exons. The record is from RefSeq and is a predicted model, not a curated record. Lineage: Eukaryota; Viridiplantae; Streptophyta; Magnoliopsida; Fagales; Fagaceae.
ACACCGUCAAUAUGUUUGUUCUUUACUUUUUUUUUUUUUGCCCUGUUGAAACUUGAAACCCAUUCAAACCAAAAUCAGUCUCAAUCUCCUCCACCAAAUCCAUAAACCCCAACAGGAUUACUUAUCGAGUCUGUGGCUCCCUCCAACGACGGCAAGAAAAGAACACUCCGGCAACUACCUAUCGAACCGCGUAGUCAACAAGAAAACAAUACUCUGGCAACUUUUACCUCGCCAAACCUGUCUUCUUUGUUGGACUUCUUCAAUUCGAACCAAAUCUGUGUUCCUAGUACCCAGGAUUGAGCUCCUUCAAGUUUAGGCCUGCGUUUCUUCUGCUCUGAGAUACAUUUUCGAAAGUCUUAGUGAGGUUUUUGAAGUAAAAUACAACAAUGGAUUCAUCACAGAGUGCAGUAACAGCAGGGACUGGUGGUGGUGGCAAUGGGAUGAUGAUCUCUCAAACCAAUGAUACGGCAGCUACACCUGCUGUGGACAAUCCAAAGCAAAACCUGAACCAUGUCAUCAACUCUAUUCAGAAAACUUUAGGCCUUCUUCACCAGCUCUACCUUACUGUCUCUUCCUUCAAUGCUGCCUCUCAGCUUCCUCUUCUCCAUCGCCUCAAUUCUCUUGUUACGGAGCUUGACAACAUGGUUAAAUUAGCUGAGAAGUGCAACGUUCAAAUUCCUAUGGAAGUGCUAAAUUUGAUUGAUGAUGGAAAGAAUCCAGAUGAAUUCACAAGGGAUGUCAUAAACAGCUGUAUUGCCAAGAAUCAGAUUACCAAAGGCAAAACUGAUGCCUUUAAGGGUUUACGCAAACAUCUUCUGGAAGAACUUGAACAAACAUUUCCUGAUGAAGUUGACUCUUAUAGAGAGAUACGUGCAGCCUCUGCUGCUGAAUCAAAGCGGCUUGCACAGGCACAAAGCAUGUUACCAAAUGGAGAUCUGAAGGUCAAAUCCGAGCUGUAGGUGUUCAUCAAGGGAAUCCUAAUUCAGGGGAUAUAUAGACAGUUCCAGUGUAAUAUAUGCAAGUAAGAGAGUCCAUAUGCAGACUCUUGCAUGGCCAUUCUUAAAUCCAUCCAUAAAGCCACAUCAAAUUUAAAGAAGGUUGCACCGACACGGCAUUUUUGGCGUCGUGUUGGUGUCCGACACGUAUCGGAUACCGGAACCGGUACGAUUCGCCGGACUCCGGUGUCCGAGCAGUGUCUAUUUUUUUUUUUCUCACUUCUCCGACGUGGCGCCGACACGGCUCCGACAUGUCCGACAUGGCUCCGACACGUCUGACAUGCCAGCAAUGCAAAAAAAAAAAAGAAGAAAAAAGAAGAAGGAAAUCAUAGAUUUUGAUAGAUGGACUUACCAAUACCAUUGAUUUUGUGAUAUACCCUAAAACAACAAGUCUGAGAAGUCCCGAAACCCACAUCUCAAGUUCUCACUUCUCAACCCACCCACCCACCCUCCCUUCGACCUCUGCUCUUCCUGCUGCUGCCGCUGCCCUCUGUCCCUUGCUGGAGCUAGAUCGAGCCGAUCAGCAAGCUCCAUAGACGUCGAUGCCGUGCUUGUCCCUUCCGAUCUCUCUCUCUUGUUGUCAGGUCCAACCUCUUUAAGCUUCUCUCUGUUUUUUUUUUUUUUUUUUUUUCCCCAGAUAUUUGGCCAUUUGGUUUGGGUGAAUGACUUAAUGGGUUACUUAAAUACUCACUUGUUAGUUUGUUACUGCCAUAUAAGUUAUACCUUAUAACUUAUAUAUAUUUUUUUAUGUUUUUACUUUGAUGUUGAAUGUAGCAUAUUUAAACUUUUGGUUUGUACUCUAAACAUUUUAUGUGUAUUAUUGUACUACUUUGGGUGUUAGUUUACU